Molecule: ribosomal RNA, 468 nt
Filed under: uncultured bacterium
Lineage: Bacteria
Description: partial 16S ribosomal RNA
Rfam family: Bacterial small subunit ribosomal RNA
Source: RNAcentral
GACGAACGCUGGCGGCGUGCUUAACACAUGCAAGUCGAACGGAAAGGCCCUGCUUUUGUGGGGUGCUCGAGUGGCGAACGGGUGAGUAACACGUGAGUAACCUGCCCUUGACUUUGGGAUAACUUCAGGAAACUGGGGCUAAUACCGGAUAGGAGCUCCUGCUGCAUGGUGGGGGUUGGAAAGUUUCGGCGGUUGGGGAUGGACUCGCGGCUUAUCAGCUUGUUGGUGGGGUAGUGGCUUACCAAGGCUUUGACGGGUAGCCGGCCUGAGAGGGUGACCGGCGACAUUGGGACUGAGAUACGGCGCAGACUCCUACGGGAGGCAGCAGUGGGGAAUAUUGCACAAUGGGCGGAAGCCUGAUGCAGCAGCGCCGCGUGCGGGAUGACGGCCUUCGGGUUGUAAACCGCUUUCGCCUGUGACGAAGCGUGAGUGACGGUAAUGGGUAAAGAAGCACCGGCUAACUACGUG